UUUAUCUUUGGAACUAGAAAUCUCAGACUGUCAAAAUGACUCAAGGUGUUUAGUACAAAGUCUCAAGUUAUGUUCCCCCAUUGUUUAGGUAUGGAACUCAGCUUGAUGUUUAUUAGGCUACCACAUAUUAUAUGUGAUAUUGUUUCUU
This is a long non-coding RNA of Oxyura jamaicensis (ruddy duck), 148 nucleotides long. RefSeq lists it as uncharacterized. The transcript is spliced from 3 exons. Lineage: Eukaryota; Metazoa; Chordata; Aves; Anseriformes; Anatidae. The record is from RefSeq and is a predicted model, not a curated record.